UUCCGCUUGAUCCUGCCGGACCCGACUGCUAUCAGAGUGGGACUAAGCCAUGCGAGUCAACGUAGAAAUACGUGGCGAACGGCUCAGUAACACGUAGUCAACAUGCCCAGAGGACGUGGAUAACCUCGGGAAACUGAGGAUAAACCGCGAUAGGUCAUGAUUUCUGGAAUGGUUUAUGGCUGAAAUCUAUAUGGCCUCUGGAUUGGACUGCGGCCGAUCAGGCUGUUGGUGAGGUAAUGGCCCACCAAACCUGUAACCGGUACGGGCUCUGAGAGGAGGAGCCCGGAGAUGGGCACUGAGACAAGGGCCCAGGCCCUAUGGGGCGCAGCAGGCGCGAAAUCUCUGCAAUAGGCGAAAGCUUGACAGGGUUACUCUGAGUGAUUCCCGCUAAGGGGAUCUUUUGGCACCUCUAAAAAUGGUGCAGAAUAAGGGGUGGGCAAGUCUGGUGUCAGCCGCCGCGGUAAUACCAGCACCCCGAGUGGUCGGGACGAUUAUUGGGCCUAAAGCAUCCGUAGCCGGUACUGCAAGUCUUCCGUUAAAUCCACCUGCUCAACAGUUGGGCUGCGGAGGAUACUACAGCGCUAGGAGGCGGGAGAGGCAAGCGGUACUCAUUGGGUAGGGGUAAAAUCCACUGAUCCAUUGAAGACCACCAGUGGCGAAGGCGGCUUGCCAGAACGCGCUCGACGGUGAGGGAUGAAAGCUGGGGGAGCAAACCGGAUUAGAUACCCGGGUAGUCCCAGCUGUAAACGAUGCAGACUCGGUGAUGGGCUGGCCUUGUGCCAACCCAGUGCCGCAGGGAAGCCGUUAGUCUGCCGCCUGGGGAGUACGG
Molecule: ribosomal RNA, 829 nt
Filed under: uncultured archaeon
Lineage: Archaea
Description: bacterial SSU rRNA
Rfam family: Archaeal small subunit ribosomal RNA
Source: RNAcentral